GCUUACACAUGCAAGUCGAGCGGUGGGCACGGUAGCUCUGCGUCCCGGACCUGACGACGGACGGAUGAGUAAUGCUUGUGAGGCUGCCUGUCAGUGGGGGAGGACUACCUACAGGGGACGCUAACACCGCCCACAUCCUACCGGAGAAACCAAGGGAGCUACCGACCUGGCGCUAGCCGAUAAACCUGACUCGGAUUAACUAGUUGGUGGGGUAAGGGCCUACCCAGGCGACCAUCUAUACCGGGUCUGAGAGGAAGAUCCACCACACUGGGACUGAGACACGGCCCAUACACCCACCGGAGGCAGCAGUGGGGAAUAUUGGACGAUGGGGGGAACCCUGAUCCAGCCAUGCCUCGUGUGUGAAGAAGGCCUUAUGGUUGUUUAGCACUUUAUUCGAGGAGGAGGCUACGUUAGUUAAUACCUAGAGAUAGUGGACGUUACUCGCAGAAUAAGCACCGGCUAACUCUGUGCCAGCAGCCGCGGUAAUACUACAGGGUGCGAGCGUUAAUCGGAUUUACUGGGCGUAAAGCGUGCGUACGCGGCUUAUUAAGUCGGAUGUGAAAUCCCCCAGCUUAACUUGGGAAUUGCAUUCUAUACUGGUGAGCUAGAGUAUGGGAGAGGAUGGUAGAAUUCCCCGUGUGGCGCUGAAAUGCGUAGAGAUCUGGAGGAAUACCGAUGGCGAAAGCGGCCCUCUCGCCUAAUACUGACACUCAUGUACGAAAACAUGUGGGAGCACACAGGAUUAGAUACCCUGGUGGUCCAUGCUGUACACGAUAUCUACUAGCCGUUGGGGCCUCUCAGGGUGUAGUGGCGCAGCUCACACCAAUAAGUACACCGCCCGGGGAGUAAGGUCGCGCGACUAAAACUCAAAUGUAUUUACCGGGGCC
Molecule: ribosomal RNA, 887 nt
Filed under: Acinetobacter baumannii
Lineage: Bacteria; Pseudomonadati; Pseudomonadota; Gammaproteobacteria; Moraxellales; Moraxellaceae
Description: bacterial SSU rRNA
Rfam family: Bacterial small subunit ribosomal RNA
Source: RNAcentral